AUAAACAUGUGCUCAAAUGAGCAAAGGGCAAGAGCAAAUGAAUAAUAUGUACAAGAAUAGUAAAUUGCAUAAAUGUAAAGUGCAAGAAUUAAAUGUUAAUGGUUAGUGUUAGUAUUAGUGUGCCAUAAGGCAAUUUAGCGCUAUGUUAAGCUAUCGUAAUUGGACUUAUGUAGAAGUCACAACUAUUUGAGGUCGGUCAAUAAUAAUGUAGGCAACGACACAAGUUAGAGAUCUUGAUUAGUGAAUCAAGC
Molecule: long non-coding RNA, 251 nt
Filed under: Lathyrus oleraceus (garden pea)
Lineage: Eukaryota; Viridiplantae; Streptophyta; Magnoliopsida; Fabales; Fabaceae
Description: Pisum sativum (pea) long non-coding RNA (PSAT_LNC041354)
Source: RNAcentral